ACGUGCUGCUUUCAGCGCUUUUAACCCGCAACGGUUAAAUCGUGUACUAUUUCCGGGAUUUCAAUAUAGGAAAGGAGUUAACUCGUCUUUAAAUUUUAGAGAAUCGAGUGUUUGGAAAAUUCAUGUUUUUUUUUCUUUUAAAGAAUGGAUAGGUCAUUUAUACAUUGACGGAAAAUCGCAGUCGGCCGCGCAUUCCUUCGCAGAGGAAAUGCGACAACACAAAACAGCUGGUUACUGUCGUUGGUAAAAGCUGGAAAGUUAAUCAUUCUCAUAAAAUCCAAAAUUUUGAAAUGAGAGUGGAAAAAAUAGAUCAAAAAUAGCUAACUUACUCCGGGGAUGCAUUUAACAGGCCUUGGUGCUUCUGGUUGCUGAGCGUGCUUAAAGCACAAGCCAAUUUUAGUACCCAAUGCUCGGAAGUUACUGAUGAUCUUAAUGAACGAUCUCACCAGUUCGAUGAGUAUGGAGACCAAGUUUUCAAAAGUUUGAUGAACACACUUCAGGGCGUUUCCAACCAACGGCAUACCCAUGACAAUCUUAGCGACAUUGGACAUUGGUUCAAUAGCUGGCUUCACCUUCGCUUGAAUCUGUGCACAAACAAUAUCGUUCGAUUAUUACGCAGUCCGUUAAGUAAUGACUAAGCUCAGAAGACUUUUUUCACUCCUACCUGUUCAAUGAAACUGUCAAAUGUCGAUAGCAUUUGAAGUUCUAUCUUGUCGGGUGAUACCUCAAGUUCUUGACUGACUGCUGUUUCGGCGCUGCCCGAUCGAACGUCUGCAGCCUAAAAUUGGAUUUUCUCAUUAUUUUGAAAAAUUCUUAGUAAUUGAGCAUAACAAUGUUGCUCGCGUGCCACUGUGAGCUUUAAUGACAAUCCUCAUUCAUCGCAAGGACGUGAUGAGGGUGUGAUAAUUUAUUUACCAAAGCGAGAAGAAUCAUGCACAGGGAGAUGGAGAACUUUGACAUUUUCACGUUUUUUUUUCUUUAAUCGUUAGUCACACUUACGAGAUUACUGGUAAAAAAUUAAUAGAACGAAGCUUAUAUGUAUGAAAUCUGAGGCUCGUAUUAUCAAACGUUUUCGAUCAGCGACCUACUACGUUGUUAAUCCAUCAAUUUAUAUUUUAUAGCACUUGUGUCAAUGAACAUCGUCACUCGCAAACAAAUUCAUCCACCAUGAUAAAUUUCGAUAGAAAUCCUAUAGAAUGCUCAUGAAACAGAAGGAAUUCAGACCGAAACACAUUUCGGGAAGAAAAACGAUAUCAUCUCGAACAUUUAAGUCAUGACGAUGCCCAAGGCCAAUUUUUGUUUGAGAGCAAACAUAGUUUCGUUCAUUUUUACCUUUGUAUCAGACUUUUCUUGAAUUUUCAUCUAAUUCAAUGUUUUGUUAUUUCCAGAAUUUUAGUUGAGGAAAAAUGAGAGCAACACGAAUAGUGAUGGAACCAAGAUAAUAUUAAAAAAUUAUCAAAUCAUCAAAUUUCACUAAAACUUUUUUAUAGUUGGGUUGUUAUUUUCGGUUUAUUCCGUUCGAUCAUUCGUUCGAUUGAAUUUCAACACCUUCUGUAUAUUUUUUUUAACGCUUCUCAAUCUCUUUGCCUCUUUUUUCAUAUAGAAAAUUUAUCACUUUGGAGACUCGUGCCUCCAUAUUUCAAAAACUUCACUCAGCACACAUUUUUCUUAAAAGAUUCGAAAACCAGCAAGUUUUGUUCCCCCCUUUAUCACUGUCGAACGUCACCCAAUAGUCGAUGAUAAAUUUGAGAUCCACACGUGACCACGAACUUUAUCGCAUAAUUUCCAAAUUUCAAGUCGAGACUCUGAUUCGGCAAUCGGAAAAACUUCUUCGGACAUCGACAUCCAAAAGAUCCAUUGAAAUCUCUAGGAAUUAAUUCUCAUUCGAAAUUAGAAUAUCAACAAGUUAACCCGUAGACACCACACUCAGCACACUGGUGCAAAUUUGGACUUGGACUUUACAAAAUUUUUCAUUUCAUCCACGAAUCUACGGAAUCAAUCUUAAAACGAGACUUUCUAGGGGUAAAAAUUCCUUAGUAAUCGAUUACAAUUAUUUUAAAAAAUUGAAAAACUGAGUUUUAUUAAAGAAAAAUUGCCAAAUUGAAGAAAGGGAUUUUGAAGUUUCAGACACUCCAAGUUUUCGUGAGUACAAGUUUGCUUCGGUGUACUGUCUACGGAUCAAUAAAUGAAAAUGUUUUGGUUAGGUAAAAAAAUACAGCCGAUCGUGCGAGAAAAAACUUUAUUUAAAUUGUCACGGAGGAGCAACCGGAGACAAACUGAAAACUUUUGACAUACAUCAAUAGUCAAUUCUCACAUCUUCAUAGCAACGACCUAUACAAAAUACAUGAAACAUAUAUAAUUACUUAAACAGAAAAUGAAAUCGUUGCUGGUUGAAAAGAACUGAGACGUACAAAUAACUUUACAAAAAACACAUUUAUUCGUAGGCUUUUUACAACUUAAAUUGUACUCAACAUGUGUGUGUUUGUGUGUGUUUGUGUGUGUGUGUGUGUGUCUGUAUUAUUUACAAUUAUUCACCUACUGCUUAAUACAUUUACCGAAUGGAAGAACUUGAUCAGUGAAACGAAAGGGUUUGGAGUAUCAAUGCGCAAGUUCUUCGGAUACUUUAGCUCGUCCCGCAUAAUUUUUGCUUUUAGUGCUACUUUUAUUUCCUGUUCAAUAAUAAUGAUGAUCGUGGUAUAUACAAAGAUGUUUCGCACGAAUGCAAACGAUCUUCUAGUUUCAUCAUAUCCCGAGAAACACAAUGAGAGUAUUGCAGCGUUGUCUCGAUAGCCUCGAACAAGUGAACGUGCGUUUCACAUGCAAAAAUAACGAUUUUUAUUCACAUCGGAAAUCGAAUACGAAGAUGAUAAAAUGUGAGAAUUCGGACAUGAAAAAUGGA
This 2899-nucleotide long non-coding RNA is filed under the name Venturia canescens. RNAcentral's name for it is "uncharacterized LOC122412215". Lineage: Eukaryota; Metazoa; Arthropoda; Insecta; Hymenoptera; Ichneumonidae. The record is from RNAcentral.